Molecule: long non-coding RNA, 767 nt
Filed under: Sarcophilus harrisii (Tasmanian devil)
Lineage: Eukaryota; Metazoa; Chordata; Mammalia; Dasyuromorphia; Dasyuridae
Description: lncRNA (ENSSHAG00000028006.1)
Source: RNAcentral
GUGUCAAAAUCUGAGCUGUGUGGGAAUUGUGAUUUCAUCGAGUAUCCUGGCAACAUCACCCGCCCCCGGAGCAGGAGCUAAGAGAGACUGUAAAAAAAGCACAUGCAUGUAUGUAACCCCUUUCUCCAGACAGAUUCCCAGGGUCCCCUCAGCGGGAGUCACCCAGGGAAGGCUUCUUCCUGCAUCACAGCUCACCAGCACAGACGGGCCCUGCUGCUUCAGCAGAUUCCCCCUGCGAAGGGGUUACCCUUCCCAGCAUUCCUCUGCAGACAGACUCCAGGGUGGGGGCUCCUCUCUCUUACUGCACCAAAUCCUGGGAGACAGAGGAGGAAGUUGACCAAAGGAAUUCUCUGAUCAUCUUGAUGAAUUUGCUGGGUAAAGAGUCUUUGGGGCUUCUGAAAGCAUCUCUUAAAAGAAAAGGCAUCUUUUUGAAAAAGAAAAUGCAGAAAAUAGAUGGCUAGAAAGAAGGACAGAGAAGCAGGAUAGCUUCGAAAGCUAUCAGUUGCAUUUACUGCACACAUAAAAAGAAAAGUGAAUUGUACAUUAUAGAGGUCAGAGAACAAAGACCUCCAAAUAGGCUUUCCUGGAUCAAAAGAAGACAGCAUCUGGGGCAGCAGUUAGUCAUUUGGAUUCAGUGGCAAGAGAAAGAUCUAGAUGAUUGGAGAUGGGUCCUGGAUGCAGUGGGAGACCUUGGCCUUUCAAACUAAAGUCUAACAGGAAGUGAUGAGAGCAAAGAGUCAAAGUGAUCUAGAAAAAUUUGGAGAAAG